AAUAACUCAUUUCAUCUUUAUUUUUUAAACAAUAGCCUAAAAUAUCAUUUUGUUAACUCACCGUUAGUUAAAUGUCGUUUGUUAGUAAUUCAUUAAGGGGAAAAAAAGAUUUUUCAUUAAAUCUUUUUCCAUUAAAGCUGUGAUUUCUAUUCAUUAAGGGUAAGAAAUUGAGAUUAAAGCAUACAUAUUGUUAUAGAAAUCACAGUAAUAUUAAACAGCAACCGAAUCUCUGCACAGGUAAUAAUGCCCUCUUUUCUUUUAAAUUUGCAAUGUGUUAGGAGUCGAAGUCGCAUCCAAAAUACCAAACAUUGUACCGUGCAGAAAACAUUCAUACUGCUGAUACUAAGGUCGAACCUGAAUUGCAAUCCAAACCGAAAAUUUACAACCAAAUUUUCAAUCUGAACCAAUCCAAAAAUUUAAAUCCCAAAAUUUCAGUUCGGUUUGGGUUUGAGCUUCAAUCUAAAUGGGUUGAAUUCCCCAACCCGAAUAUUUUGGAACCCAAACUACGUCACUCGGCUCGCGCGCAACCCCGCCCCAUUAUGUUAUGGAAGAAUUUAAACCAAACAACCAGAACCGAAAGCUGAUUUGUCCAUCCCGAACUAGAAUGCCUAUGUGGUGAGAUUGCAGUACACACAACCAAUAUCAUUUGUAACAUCAUAACCACAGUUUGUAUGACUACCAAGACUCUUCUUUCUUGUCAAUUGACGAGUCAUUCCUAUAUCUCAACAUAACAUAAAAAACUAAUUACUAUAUAAAGCUUGAAACCAACAAUAGUUCUCAUAAAAACAAAAAUAACUAUACAGAUCAAAAUAAAAAGCUUUAGAAAGCAAAAUACAUAGGGAAAAUAUCCACCGUCCACUCGUUUUUUCUAACUUUUUAAAAAAUACACAAUUUUUUUUUUUGCUGGAAUUCACCUAAAGUUACAUUUUGUUUCACUUUUCCACUUCCGUUUGGAAUCCGUUAAGAAAACUAACGGAAACUUUAAAAAAUGACCAUUUUACCCCCAAAACGAAAAUUACAAUCACCCUAAAAAUGCAAAAAAUAAUCAGAUUUAAUGAUGAAUAUCAUUAUUGGUACGCUAAUGAAGUACAAAAAAAUCUUAACUACUAGAGAUUAUAACUCAAUGAAUAAUAAAACUCUACUUAUCUUAAAUUCAAUUGAUAGUUUACGAAAUUAGGCUAUUUUUAAUACUACUGUUAUAAUUUAGCAUUCUAAUUACAGACAUAUUUUAAAAAAAACCUGUAUUUGAUGGUUGUGGAAUUAAUUUCUUUAUUGAUCGAUGGGAAAAAUAUUUAGAUUUAAUCUGAUUAUUUUUUAUAAUUUUUAGAGUGAAAUUGUUAUUUUCGUUUCGGAGGUUAAAAUAGUCAUUUUUUUAAAUUUCCGUUAGUUUUUUUAACGGAUUCCAAACGGAAGUGGAAAAGUAAAAUAAAAUAUAACUUUAGGUGGAUUCCAGUAAAAAAAAAAAGAAUUGUGUAUUUUUAAAAAAGUUAGAAAAAACGGAUAGACGGUGGAUAUUUUCUCAAAUACAUAAUAUCUGCAAUAAAGUAAUAUUUCUAGACUCAUAAAACAAAAAGCAAAUUCCAGGGUAAUAAUGAUAAAAUCAAUUAUAUAUGUCAGAAAUUCAUGAAAAUUUACAAAGCUACUGUGCACAGGUGUGGCAUUACUCAUAAAAAUCAACACAAGUGAGGAGCAUUUCCGAUAACUGACUUUUAACCAAAACCAUAAAAUUGUCCAGCAACAACUAAAAUAGAGAUCCACAACUUUGAAAAUUCACAAAAUAUUCAUUAGGACUAAAAAAAUAUACAUAAAAUUUAUACCCGGUAAAGAUAUACAUAAAAUUCAGAAUUUAUAGACUUAUGAAACUAAUUUAAAAGUAUUAUUAUUUUGGGUAUAACAAACCUGUCCAAAAUUUCCAAAAUCUGCUAUUACCCAUCUCAAAGAUUCAUAUCUUUGGUUACACUUGUCCAAAAAUAAAAUUUCCAGUUUUGACAAACAGAGGAGACAACAAGAAAUUUGUAUUAAAAUUAAUAAGGCAUUUAAUGAUCACAAAGUAACCCAAACUGACUCCCAAUUCAGCUUCUGAAAUUAUGAAAAACAGUCUUCAGAAACUGCAGCACCAAACAUUACUAUUUUUAUUUAUUUUUUUCUAAAAGGUUAAAAAUAACGAAAUACAAUAUACAGAAAAUAGACAUGUAGACAUAUUGAAAUAAAAUUUCCUAUAAUUUAUGGAAGCUAUUUGGUUUACCAAAUAAAUUGUAGAAGUGAGGACAACUGCUGAAAAUUGAAAUUUUCCAGGACCAGUAUUGCAACUUCGAAAAAUCAUAACAAUUCAUGCUUUAAGAAUUUUUGAACAUGAAACAUAUCAGCGAAAAGCUCAGGAACUCUAUUUUAAACCAUAAAAUUAAUUUCACAUGAUUCCAGCUAAAUCAAAAGAUAUUCAGUAUAAUAUCCACACUGCUCACAGAAUCUCAGGAUUACUAAAAACAUAUUCUCAUCAAUUUCAAGAGUUAAUCCUGUGCCAAUAAUUAUCAAUCAACCAACCAGCAAAACAGAGCAUAUUCAUGGAUUAAACAAACAAUACCUCAAGAGUUUAGCCUCCCUCAUACACAAGCAAAGCCAACCAAAAACAAGGUAAAAAGAUCCCAGGCAAACUUCUUCCAAAAUCAAAAGAAAACAACACCAUUUUCUUUUAGGAUGGGUUGUCUCUACAAUGAACAACCUCAAAGCAAUUUCUCAUUACCCACUUCAACUUUCACAAUUUACUAUUCCAAUCCUCACUAAUAAAUCAUGCCCACUAAUAUUUAUUAACACCCAGAUGAAAUUGAAUAAAACCCAUAUCAUACCCAAAAUAAUAAUAAUAAUAAUAAAGAAAAGUACUAUAAAAAUGCAAAGCCAUAACGCAAAUUACAGAGAGAGAGAGAGAGUGCCGUAGAAGCUAAAGAGCAAAGCUUUGCAGAGAAAGUUGACCAGCGAAGGACUGUCGAAACGAUGAUUAGUGGUGUUGCAUGCGAAAUAAUCAAAUAAACUAAAUUAAAUUAAACUAAAUUAAUCACACAAACGAAACUGAGAAGCAAAACAACAUGAAACACAGAGAACUUGAAGCACAAAGAGAGUCGAAACAAAAAUUAUGUAAAAUAAAAAAAAAAACCUUUCAAUCGGCUGAGACGGAAGUGGGUCAAGAGCAGGUCGACGGUGUGGAGGUGACGAGGACAGGUGGCACUGGAGACGGGAGCAGAACGACGGCAAACGUCUUGUUUUGUGAAGUUCGUUGAUGGUUAGGUUUCAAGGGCUUUGCAAUUUGAUAACAGAAAUUGUGUGGCUUCAUUUUAAACGAGGGUAAUUCAGUAAAUAUAAAAAAAAUAGGAGGGAUAUAAUGGUCAUUUUAAACGAGGGUAAUUCAAUAAAUAUAAAAAAAAUAGGAGGGAUAUAAUGGUCAGUUCAAGGAAUGGGAAUCCUCAUUCUCAACUCC
This 3469-nucleotide long non-coding RNA is filed under the name Citrus maxima (pomelo). Its description in RNAcentral is "long non-coding RNA (CMAX_LNC003063)". Lineage: Eukaryota; Viridiplantae; Streptophyta; Magnoliopsida; Sapindales; Rutaceae. The record is from RNAcentral.